Molecule: ribosomal RNA, 301 nt
Filed under: uncultured bacterium
Lineage: Bacteria
Description: partial 16S ribosomal RNA
Rfam family: Bacterial small subunit ribosomal RNA
Source: RNAcentral
CAGUAGCCACGGUAAUACGUAGGGUGCGAGCGUUAAUCGGAAUUACUGGGCGUAAAGCGUGCGCAGGCGGUUCGUUAAGACAGAUGUGAAAUCCCCGGGCUUAACCUGGGAACUGCAUUUGUGACUGACGGGCUAGAGUAUGGCAGAGGGGGGUAGAAUUCCACGUGUAGCAGUGAAAUGCGUAGAGAUGUGGAGGAAUACCGAUGGCGAAGGCAGCCCCCUGGGCCAAUACUGACGCUCAUGCACGAAAGCGUGGGGAGCAAACAGGAUUAGAUACCCGCGUAGUUCCUGUCUCUUAUAA